GAUGAACGCUGGCGGCGUGCCUAACACAUGCAAGUCGAACGGAGAUGCGAUGUGAGCGAGAGGUGCUUGCACUGAUUAAUCUUUUCGUAUCUUAGUGGCGGACGGGUGAGUAACGCGUGGGUAACCUGCCUUAUACCGGGGGAUAACACUUAGAAAUAGGUGCUAAUACCGCAUAAGCGCACGGUGUCGCAUGACACAGUGUGAAAAACUCCGGUGGUAUAAGAUGGACCCGCGUCUGAUUAGCCAGUUGGCAGGGUAACGGCCUACCAAAGCGACGAUCAGUAGCCGGCCUGAGAGGGUGAACGGCCACAUUGGGACUGAGACACGGCCCAAAACUCCUACGGGAGGCAGCAGUGGGGAAUAUUGCACAAUGGGGGAAACCCUGAUGCAGCGACGCCGCGUGAGCGAAGAAGUAUUUCGGUAUGUAAAGCUCUAUCAGCAGGGAAGAAAAAAUAGACGGUACCUGACUAAGAAGCCCCGGCUAACUACGUGCCAG
Molecule: ribosomal RNA, 496 nt
Filed under: uncultured bacterium
Lineage: Bacteria
Description: bacterial SSU rRNA
Rfam family: Bacterial small subunit ribosomal RNA
Source: RNAcentral